Molecule: unclassified non-coding RNA, 282 nt
Filed under: Hevea brasiliensis (rubber tree)
Lineage: Eukaryota; Viridiplantae; Streptophyta; Magnoliopsida; Malpighiales; Euphorbiaceae
Source: RNAcentral
GCUUAUCUCAAUUAUAUGAAUUGACUUUGGUUUUCUUCCUUCCUUGCGAAGGAAAUUGGAUUUUCCUUCUAUUAAUACUUGAUUUUGAAUUACACCCUUGCAGACCAAAAAUGGAGGAGCCUUUGCUUUCAGAGAAAGCAAGUGAAUUGGGAGAGAAAGAAAGUGAGAGGUGGAGCUCAUACCAGUACGUGGGUCGGACUGGGUCAGCAAUUCCCACUGCUUCGUUGGGAGGAACUGAAGUCAGUGUCGAAGAAAUUCGAUCGGCGGCUGCUUCCGAUUACU